GCGCCUCUGCGGUGUUCGUGUGCGGCUGGGUAUUAUCCUUGAGCCUAAUAACUUACCCCGGGAUCCGGAGCCGCUGCCUGUGUGCACGUCCGUGUAGAUGCGCGCCUGCCGCGCAUGCGGAAAGCCUGAUGGCAGCGUCGAGGUUCCCACUUGAACCGCUGGUUCAAGGUCGAAGGCCACCACGGCACAUGCGGAGCGCG
RNAcentral lists this non-coding RNA (200 nucleotides) under Thioalkalivibrio sp. RNAcentral's name for it is "6S RNA". It matches the Rfam family "6S / SsrS RNA". From Rfam's summary of the family: E. coli 6S RNA was the first non coding RNA to be sequenced, but its function was unknown until recently. Lineage: Bacteria; Pseudomonadati; Pseudomonadota; Gammaproteobacteria; Chromatiales; Ectothiorhodospiraceae. The record is from RNAcentral.